Molecule: small RNA, 195 nt
Filed under: Ophiocordyceps unilateralis
Lineage: Eukaryota; Fungi; Ascomycota; Sordariomycetes; Hypocreales; Ophiocordycipitaceae
Description: A. fumigatus sRNA Afu_182
Rfam family: A. fumigatus sRNA Afu_182
Source: Rfam by way of RNAcentral
UUAUGAACAACGCAAAAAAACAAACGUCCAGGCACUUCCUUCAGUCUCGAGGUACUGCUUCGGGCAGCGCCCAUGACGGCCGGCUCUUCUGAGGGCAGGGAAUGCGAGAACGGAGAAGAAACAACAGAAAGCGCACAAUCUUGGGUGCGGUGCUCUCCUUUAUCGUGGAGAGGACCGCAAUGAUUGAUCGUACAA